AUUGAACGCUGGCGGCAGGCCUAACACAUGCAAGUCGAACGGUAACAGGAAACAGCUUGCUGUUUCGCUGACGAGUGGCGGACGGGUGAGUAAUGUCUGGGAAACUGCCUGAUGGAGGGGGAUAACUACUGGAAACGGUAGCUAAUACCGCAUAACGUCGCAAGACCAAAGAGGGGGACCUUCGGGCCUCUUGCCAUCGGAUGUGCCCAGAUGGGAUUAGCUAGUAGGUGGGGUAACGGCUCACCUAGGCGACGAUCCCUAGCUGGAUUGAGAGGAUGACCAGCCACACUGGAACUGAGACACGGUACAUACUCCGACUGGAGGCAGCAGUGGGGAAUAUUGCACAAUGGGCGCAAGCCUGAUGCAGCCAUGCCGCGUGUAUGAAGGAGGCCUUCGGGUUGUAAAGUACUUUCAGCGGGGAGGAAGGGAGUAAAGUUAAUACCUUUGCUCAUUGACGUUACCCGCAGAAGAAGCACCGGCUAACUCCGUGCCAGCCGCCGCUGUAA
Molecule: ribosomal RNA, 506 nt
Filed under: uncultured bacterium
Lineage: Bacteria
Description: partial 16S ribosomal RNA
Rfam family: Bacterial small subunit ribosomal RNA
Source: RNAcentral